AGCAGCCGCGGUAAUUCCAGCUCCAAUAGCGUAUAUUAAAGUUGUUGCAGUUAAAAAGCUCGUAGUUGAAUUUCGAGACCGGUCUACUGGUCGUGCUUUUGUACGUACUGGUAUAAUCGGUUUCUCUCUUCUGACGAACUAUAAUGCCAUUAAUUUGGUGUUUUAGGGAAUCAGGACUGUUACUUUGAAAAAAUUAGAGUGUUUAAAGCAGGCUCACGCUUGAAUACAUUAGCAUGGAAUAACGAAAUAGGACGUUUGAUUCUAUUUUGUUGGUUUCUAGGAUCGACGUAAUGAUUAAUAGGGAUAGUUGGGGGCAUUAGUAUUCAAUUGUCAGAGGUGAAAUUCUUGGAUUUAUUGAAGACUAACUACUGCGAAAGCAUUUGCCAAGGAUGUUUUCAUUAAUCAAGAACGAAAGUUAGGGGAUCGAAGACGAUCAGAUACCGUCGUAGUCUUAACCAUAAAUUAUGCCGACUAGGGAUCGGAUGGAUGUUAAAUUAAUGUAACUCAUUCGGUCACCUUA
RNAcentral lists this ribosomal RNA (520 nucleotides) under uncultured Glomus. RNAcentral's name for it is "SSU rRNA". It matches the Rfam family "Eukaryotic small subunit ribosomal RNA", at positions 569 to 1090 of the family's 1831-position model. The record is from RNAcentral. Lineage: Eukaryota; Fungi; Glomeromycota; Glomeromycetes; Glomerales; Glomeraceae.